Molecule: ribosomal RNA, 271 nt
Filed under: Acinetobacter baumannii
Lineage: Bacteria; Pseudomonadati; Pseudomonadota; Gammaproteobacteria; Moraxellales; Moraxellaceae
Description: partial 23S ribosomal RNA
Rfam family: Bacterial large subunit ribosomal RNA
Source: RNAcentral
CGAAUGCUGACGUGAGUAACGACAAAACGGGUGAAAAACCCGUUCGCCGAAAGACCAAGGGUUCCAGUCCAACGUUAAUCGGGGCUGGGUGAGUCGACCCCUAAGGCGAGGCCGAAAGGCGUAGUCGAUGGGAAAAUGGUUAAUAUUCCAUUACUUCUGUGUAAUGCGAUGAGAGGACGGAGAAGGCUAAAUCAGCCUGGCGUUGGUUGUCCAGGUGAAAGGAUGUAGGCAUGUAUCUUAGGCAAAUCCGGGGUACUCUAUGCUGAGAUCU